CACUGCCGAGAAAAGCCUCUAGAUAGAAAAUAGGUGCCCGUACCGCAAACCGACACAGGUAGUCAAGAUGAGAAUUCUAAGGUGAGCGAGCGAACUCUCGUUAAGGAACUCGGCAAAAUGACCCCGUAACUUCGGGAGAAGGGGUGCUCUUUAGGGUUAACGCCCAGAAGAGCCGCAGUGAAUAGGCCCAAGCGACUGUUUAUCAAAAACACAGGUCUCUGCUAAACCGUAAGGUGAUGUAUAGGGGCUGACGCCUGCCCGGUGCUGGAAGGUUAAGAGGAGUGGUUAGCUUCUGCGAAGCUACGAAUCGAAGCCCCAGUAAACGGCGGCCGUAACUAUAACGGUCCUAAGGUAGCGAAAUUCCUUGUCGGGUAAGUUCCGACCCGCACGAAAGGCGUAACGAUUUGGGCACUGUCUCAACGAGAGACUCGGUGAA
Molecule: ribosomal RNA, 436 nt
Filed under: Staphylococcus aureus
Lineage: Bacteria; Bacillati; Bacillota; Bacilli; Caryophanales; Staphylococcaceae
Description: partial 23S ribosomal RNA
Rfam family: Bacterial large subunit ribosomal RNA
Source: RNAcentral